This is a long non-coding RNA of Zophobas morio, 758 nucleotides long. RefSeq lists it as uncharacterized. The transcript has 6 exons. Lineage: Eukaryota; Metazoa; Arthropoda; Insecta; Coleoptera; Tenebrionidae. The record is from RefSeq and is a predicted model, not a curated record.
AUUAAAUUAUCAAUAUUGAUGCAAGAGUAUUUGAGGCGAUUUUUUCGAUUUGAUGACCUCUCACUUUUCCGGAUAACGUCGCUUCACUAUAAGCCUGAAACGCUUCCCGUUCCGCUCGAUUGCGUCUAUUUGGACUCCACGUUUGCCCGUCCUACCAGCAAAGACUUCUGCACCCGCCAGCGCUGUGUGGCGGCCCUGACCGAUUUGAUUCAUCCUUACUACCACUUGUAUUAUUACGUGUACAUCUGCUGCCCUUACUUGGGUUCUUUUUAGAUCCACGUGGAUUAAUGCCAGAUGGAGAUGUACUCAGCACUUACUGAGCUGGCCGAGUAUUUUCCGCUAGACCCAUUGCUCACUUUUACGCGUGUUUGCAACGCAGGGUAUUGUCCCUCCAAAGUCUCAAAAUGUUUCUCUUGAAAGGCUACCGUAUUGUAUGGGCUCAUCGGCAGAGCGGCAAUCAGUGGCCUACUUUUGCAGGUGUUUACAUUCAGCAGCAUCGAGCACGUGAGAAGAAACUUUUCGCGUAGCUUUACAAAAAUUCGGAUAACGUCAAGAGAUAUUACAUUCAUGCAUUCAUCACAAGAAGGGUUGCGCCACUUUUUAAGUUAUUUUCGUGUUCAGUCUGUGAAGUUCUGUUCUGUCCUGUUUGGGUAUAAAAGCGCUGCUCAGGCUUUUCCGAGUCCGUUCAGCUCGUCGCAAGUUUUAAUGCUUUUAAUUUUGUUGACCGUAAGGCCAUUAUUGAACAGAAAGUUUUAACU